AGAACGAACGCUGGCGGCAUGCCUAAUACAUGCAAGUCGAACGAACUCUUCGGAGUUAGUGGCGCACGGGUGCGUAACGCGUGGGAAUCUGCCCCUUGGUUCGGAAUAACAGUUGGAAACGACUGCUAAUACCGGAUGAUGACGAAAGUCCAAAGAUUUAUCGCCAAGGGAUGAGCCCGCGUAGGAUUAGCUAGUUGGUGAGGUAAAGGCUCACCAAGGCAACGAUCCUUAGCUGGUCUGAGAGGAUGAUCAGCCACACUGGGACUGAGACACGGCCCAGACUCCGUACGGGAGGCAGCAGGUAGGGAAUAGUGGACAAGUGGGACGAAAGCCUAGAUCCAGACAAUGCCGCGUGAGUGAGUGAAGGUCGUUAGGGUUAGUAAAGUCUUACUUUACCGAG
Molecule: ribosomal RNA, 400 nt
Filed under: uncultured soil bacterium
Lineage: Bacteria
Description: bacterial SSU rRNA
Rfam family: Bacterial small subunit ribosomal RNA
Source: RNAcentral